RNAcentral lists this ribosomal RNA (496 nucleotides) under uncultured bacterium. Its description in RNAcentral is "bacterial SSU rRNA". It matches the Rfam family "Bacterial small subunit ribosomal RNA", at positions 1 to 487 of the family's 1533-position model. The record is from RNAcentral.
UUAGAGUUUGAUCCUGGCUCAGGACGAACGCUGGCGGCGUGCUUAACACAUGCAAGUGGAGCGACGAACCAGGCUUCGGCCUGGGGCAGAGCCGCGAACGGGUGAGUAACACGUGGGCAACCUGCCCCGAAGAUCGGGACAACCCGGGGAAACCCGGGCUAAUACCGAAUGUGGUCACCGUCCACAAGGACGAUGAGCAAAGGGAGCUUCGGCCCCCGCUUCGGGAUGGGCUCGCGGCCUAUCAGCUUGUUGGCGGGGUAACGGCCCACCAAGGCGACGACGGGUAGCUGGUCUGAGAGGAUGAUCAGCCACACUGGGACUGAGACACGGCCCAGACUCCUACGGGAGGCAGCAGUGGGGAAUAUUGCGCAAUGGCCGAAAGGCUGACGCAGCGACGCCGCGUGUGGGAUGACGGCCUUCGGGUUGUAAACCACUGUCGGGAGGAACGAAUACCGGACGUCGAAUAGGCGAUCCGGGGUGACGGUACCUCCAAAGG